This 386-nucleotide ribosomal RNA is filed under the name uncultured bacterium. Its description in RNAcentral is "bacterial SSU rRNA". It matches the Rfam family "Bacterial small subunit ribosomal RNA", at positions 28 to 416 of the family's 1533-position model. The record is from RNAcentral.
GACGAACGCUGGCGGCGUGCUUAACACAUGCAAGUCGAGCGGUAAGGCCCUUUCGGGGGUACACGAGCGGCGAACGGGUGAGUAACACGUGGGUGACCUGCCUUUAGCUCUGGGAUAAGCCUGGGAAACUGGGUCUAAUACCGGAUACGACUCCGCGGUGCAUGCUGUGGGGUGGAAAGCCUUGUGCGGCUGGAGAUGGGCCCGCGGCCUAUCAGCUUGUUGGUGGGGUGAUGGCCACCAAGGCGACGACGGGUAGCCGGCCUGAGAGGGCGACCGGCCACACUGGGACUGAGACACGGCCCAGACUCCUACGGGAGGCAGCGGUGGGGAAUCUUGCGCAAUGGGCGAAAGCCUGACGCAGCGACGCCGCGUGAGGGAUGACGCCU